CCUACGGGAGGCAGCAGUGAGGAAUAUUGGUCAAUGGACGAGAGUCUGAACCAGCCAAGUCGCGUGAAGGAUGACUGCCCUAUGGAUUGUAAACUUCUUUUAUCUGGGAAUAAAAUGUUGCACGUGUGGGAUUUUGUAUGUACCCUAUGAAUAAGGAUCGGCUAACUCCGUGCCAGCAGCCGCGGUAAUCCGGAGGAUCCGAGCGUUAUCCGGAUUUAUUGGGUUUAAAGGGUGCGUAGGUGGUUUGUUAAGUCAGUUGUGAAAGUUUGCGGCUCAACCGUAGAAUUGCAGUUGAAACUGGCAGACUUGAGUAGAGGAGAGGUGCGCGGAAUUCGUGGUGUAGCGGUGAAAUGCAUAGAUAUCGCGAAGAACUCCGAUUGCGAAGGCAGCUCACUGGACUGCAACUGACACUGAGGCUCGAAAGUGUGGGUAUCGAACAGGAUUAGAUACCCUUGUAGUC
This 460-nucleotide ribosomal RNA is filed under the name uncultured bacterium. Its description in RNAcentral is "partial 16S ribosomal RNA". It matches the Rfam family "Bacterial small subunit ribosomal RNA", at positions 338 to 795 of the family's 1533-position model. The record is from RNAcentral.